RNAcentral lists this long non-coding RNA (227 nucleotides) under Durio zibethinus. RNAcentral describes it as "long non-coding RNA (DZIB_LNC002421)". Lineage: Eukaryota; Viridiplantae; Streptophyta; Magnoliopsida; Malvales; Malvaceae. The record is from RNAcentral.
GAUAAUUAAAACAUUAUAAUAAAAAGAAUUAUAGUUAAAAUACUCCAAACAACCACCAGCUCCAGCCACCGUUACACCACCACCAGUCCCCAAAAGCCACCAAUUAAACCAUAAAAAACACUAUGCACCGCCUAAGCACCCAUCUAAAUGAUCCAUAACCAAAACGACUAGUUGGUCUUAACAUAUUCGUUUUCUUGAAUUUCCAAGAAAGGGUAUAUUCUUUCCUA